UACGGAGGAUGCGAGCGUUAUCCGGAUUUAUUGGGUUUAAAGGGUGCGUAGGCGGGAUGCCAAGUCAGCGGUAAAAAUGCGGUGCUCAACGCCGUCGAGCCGUUGAAACUGGCGUUCUUGAGUGGGCGAGAAGUAUGCGGAAUGCGUGGUGUAGCGGUGAAAUGCAUAGAUAUCACGCAGAACUCCGAUUGCGAAGGCGGCUUACUGGACAGAAACUGACACUGAGGCUCGAAAGCGUGGGGAGCAAACAGG
This 252-nucleotide ribosomal RNA is filed under the name uncultured bacterium. RNAcentral describes it as "partial 16S ribosomal RNA". It matches the Rfam family "Bacterial small subunit ribosomal RNA", at positions 524 to 776 of the family's 1533-position model. The record is from RNAcentral.